This 397-nucleotide ribosomal RNA is filed under the name uncultured bacterium. RNAcentral's name for it is "partial 16S ribosomal RNA". It matches the Rfam family "Bacterial small subunit ribosomal RNA", at positions 523 to 918 of the family's 1533-position model. The record is from RNAcentral.
AUACGUAGGUGACAAGCGUUAUCCGGAUUUACUGGGUGUAAAGGGCGUGUAGGCGGUUUGGCAAGUCAGAAGUGAAAUUCCCGGGCUUAACUUGGGCGCUGCUUCUGAAACUGCUUAACUUGAGUGCUGGAGAGGAUAGUGGAAUUCCUAGUGUAGCGGUAAAAUGCGCAGAUAUUAGGAAGAACACCGGUGGCGAAGGGGGCUAUCUGGACAGUAACUGACGCUGAGGCGCGAAAGCGUGGGGAGCAAACAGGAUUAGAUCCCCUGGUAGUCCACGCCGUAAACGAUGAAUACUAGGUGUAGGGGGUAUCGACUCCCUCUGUGCCGCAGUUAACACGAUAAGUAUUCCGCCUGGGGAGUACGGCCGCAAGGUUGAAACUCAAAUGAAUUGACGGGG